RNAcentral lists this ribosomal RNA (474 nucleotides) under Lodderomyces parapsilosis. RNAcentral describes it as "eukaryotic LSU rRNA". The stretch from base 146 to 299 matches the Rfam family "5.8S ribosomal RNA". The record is from RNAcentral. Lineage: Eukaryota; Fungi; Ascomycota; Pichiomycetes; Serinales; Debaryomycetaceae.
CAUGCAAGUGCUUACUGCAUUUUUUCUUACACAUGUGUUUUUCUUUUUUUGAAAACUUUGCUUUGGUAGGCCUUCUAUAUGGGGCCUGCCAGAGAUUAAACUCAACCAAAUUUUAUUUAAUGUCAACCGAUUAUUUAAUAGUCAAAACUUUCAACAACGGAUCUCUUGGUUCUCGCAUCGAUGAAGAACGCAGCGAAAUGCGAUAAGUAAUAUGAAUUGCAGAUAUUCGUGAAUCAUCGAAUCUUUGAACGCACAUUGCGCCCUUUGGUAUUCCAAAGGGCAUGCCUGUUUGAGCGUCAUUUCUCCCUCAAACCCUCGGGUUUGGUGUUGAGCGAUACGCUGGGUUUGCUUGAAAGAAAGGCGGAGUAUAAACUAAUGGAUAGGUUUUUUCCACUCAUUGGUACAAACUCCAAAACUUCUUCCAAAUUCGACCUCAAAUCAGGUAGGACUACCCGCUGAACUUAAGCAUAUCAA